Molecule: ribosomal RNA, 254 nt
Filed under: uncultured bacterium
Lineage: Bacteria
Description: partial 16S ribosomal RNA
Rfam family: Bacterial small subunit ribosomal RNA
Source: RNAcentral
CACGUAGGGGGCGAGCGUUGUCCGGAUUUAUUGGGCGUAAAGAGCUCGUAGGCGGCUCAGUAAGUCGGGUGUGAAAACUCCAGGCUCAACCUGGAGACGCCACCCGAUACUGCUGUGGCUAGAGUCCGGUAGGGGAGCAUGGAAUUCCUGGUGUAGCGGUGAAAUGCGCAGAUAUCAGGAGGAACACCCGUGGCGAAGGCGGUUCUCUGGGACGGUACUGACGCUGAGACGCGAAAGCGUGGGGAGCGAACAGG